UUCUAAGAUCAUACCACCCUGAACAUACCGGAACUUAUCUGAUCUUGGAAGCUAGGUAGGGUCCGGCUUGAUUCGUGCUUGGAUAAGAGAAUGAAUAUAUCAAUCUUAGGAG
RNAcentral lists this ribosomal RNA (112 nucleotides) under Echinops telfairi (small Madagascar hedgehog). Lineage: Eukaryota; Metazoa; Chordata; Mammalia; Afrosoricida; Tenrecidae. The record is from RNAcentral.